This is a long non-coding RNA of Capsicum annuum, 429 nucleotides long. RefSeq lists it as uncharacterized. Lineage: Eukaryota; Viridiplantae; Streptophyta; Magnoliopsida; Solanales; Solanaceae. The transcript is spliced from 2 exons. The record is from RefSeq and is a predicted model, not a curated record.
UUUGAAGUUAAUAAUUUCAUUAUUGCUUGCAAGAACACUGAAAUAAAGGUUAAUCAGCUUUAUAUGGAUAAGAAAAGUUUGGUAUCGGUAAUGACAAAAUAUGCGAUAUUGAAUGGCUUCAACACCUAUUCUAAAUGAUCUGACAAACAAAGCUAUGUAUUACACUACCAUAACAAAGAUUGUAAAUGGAUCCUCAAGGAGUCUUCGAUAAAUCAUUCAGAAAUCUUUAUGAUAAAGAGAUUUGAUUCAGAACAUACAUGCAGUCUGAGUGAUAGAGUACUGAAUAAUUUGGUUGCAACAACAGCUUUGUUAGUGAAUUUACAGCACCAAAAUUAAUUAAUUACAAGAAAAUACACACACCCGUAGACAUAAUUAAAGAGAUGAAGGUUGUUUACGGUGUUGAUAUUAACUACAUAAUUGCUUGGCGGG